CCUACGGGAGGCAGCAGUAGGGAAUAUUGCUCAAUGGGGGAAACCCUGAAGCAGCAACGCCGCGUGGAGGAUGAAGGUUUUCGGAGUGUAAACUCCUUUUGGUAGAGAAGAAAAUUACGGUAUCUAACUAAUAAUCACCGGCUAUCUCCGUUCCAGCAGCCGCGGUAACACGCAGGGGGCAAGCGUUAUCCGGAUUUACUGGGUGUAAAGGGAGCGGAGGCGGGAAGGCAAGUCAGAAGUGAAAGACAUGGGCUCAACCAUGGGACUGCAUUUGAAACUGUCAACCUAGAGUGGCGGAGAGGUAGGCGGAAUUCCUAGUGUAGCGGUGAAAUGCGUAGAUAUUAGGAGGAACACCAGUGGCGAAGGCGUCUUACUGGACCGCAACUGACGUUGAGGCUCGAAAGCGUGGGGAGCAAACAGGAUUAGAUACCCGAGUAGUC
RNAcentral lists this ribosomal RNA (440 nucleotides) under uncultured bacterium. RNAcentral describes it as "partial 16S ribosomal RNA". It matches the Rfam family "Bacterial small subunit ribosomal RNA", at positions 338 to 795 of the family's 1533-position model. The record is from RNAcentral.